AGUGAACGCUGGCGGUAUGCCUAACACAUGCAAGUCGAACGGCCGCACAGUAAGAGCUCGCUCUUACGGGUGGCGAGUGGCGGACGGGUAAGGAAUAGAUCGGAAUCUACUUUUUCGUGGGGGAUAACGUAGGGAAACUUACGCUAAUACCGCAUACGACCUACGGGUGAAAGCAGGGGAGCUUGGGACCUUGCGCGAUUGAAUGAGACCAUGUCGGGUUAGCUAGUUGGUAAGGUAAAGGCUCACCAAGGCGACGAUGCGUAGCCGAGCUGAGAGGGUGAUCGGCCACACUGGAACUGAGACACGGUCCAGACUCCUAAGGGAGGCAGCAGUAGGGAAUCUUCCGCAAUGGGCGAAAGCCUGACGGAGCAACGCCGCGUGAGUGAUGAAGGUCUUCGGAUCGUAAAACUCUGUUAUUAGGGAAGAACAAAUGUGUAAGUAACUAUGCACGUCUUGACGGUACCUAAUCAGAAAGCCACGGCUAACUACGUG
RNAcentral lists this ribosomal RNA (492 nucleotides) under uncultured bacterium. RNAcentral's name for it is "partial 16S ribosomal RNA". It matches the Rfam family "Bacterial small subunit ribosomal RNA", at positions 29 to 507 of the family's 1533-position model. The record is from RNAcentral.